This is a long non-coding RNA of Gadus morhua (Atlantic cod), 1315 nucleotides long. RefSeq lists it as uncharacterized. The record is from RefSeq and is a predicted model, not a curated record. NCBI's taxonomy places the organism in Eukaryota, Metazoa, Chordata, Actinopteri, Gadiformes, Gadidae. The transcript has 2 exons.
CUUCGGUUCAAUAAAGUUGACCUCUCCUUCAGGCGACUUAAAGGGAGACCAGAUGUGCGGCAGCUGGGUGUCAUGGUGCAGAGACCCAACGCUGCACUGAACUACACCAGUGUGUCCUACUCCCCAUAAACCCUGAGGAUCCCUGGCUACACCAGCACAUUAAUCCACACCCAACAUUAACACACAGUGCACACUCUAUAGAGCUUGUAAGUCCGCCCCUUGCGGUGGGACCUCGUGAGAUCGUAUGAUAUGACUGGGUUUCAAUGGAGAGAAAGUAAUUAUUUUCUCCAUUAUGUUGCACCACAUUUUGGGGGAAGAAUGUUUGAAUCAAUCUUUGUCAUUUAUUUCUGUACUCCACAUCUGUAAUCCCAGCUGUUGUAUUUUAACACGGUAGCUGGGAACCCUCUUUAUAGGGAGCGGCUAGAGGGACGAGGCUGGAAGCAAACCUGAGCCUGGAUCUUAACCUUCUUUCUAAACCUAAUGCCGCAAUUUAACCGCAAAUAAAGUGAGGCCUAAAGUAACUUGACUCUUACCUAAACUUGCUUGCCUAAACUCGCUUGUCUAAACUCGCUUGCAUAAAACCUAAACUCGCUUGCAUAAAACCUGAACUUGCUUGGCUAAACUCGCGUCGCUUGCCUAAUACCUGAACUUGCUUGCCUAAACUCGCUUGCCUAAUACCUGAACCCGCUUGCCUAAACCCGCUUGCCUAAACCCGCUUGCCUAAACCCGCUUGCCUAAACCCGCUUGCCUAAACCCGCUUGCCUAAACUCGCUUGCCUAAUACCUGAACUCACUUGCAUAAAACCUAAACUCGCUUGGCUUGACUCGCUUACCUGUACUCGCUUGCCUGAACUCGCUUGCCUAAUACCUGAAGUCGCUUGCCUAAUACCCGAAGUCGCUUGCCUGAACUCGCUUGCCUAAUACCUGAACACGCUUGCAUAAAACCUAAACUCGCUUAGCUUGACUCGCUUGCCUGUACUCGCUUGGCUAAAUACGCUUGCAUAAAACCUAAACUCGCUUGGCUUGACUCGCUUGCCUGUACUCGCUUGGCUAAACUCGCUUGCCUAAUACCUGAAGUCGCCUGCCUAAACUCGCUUGCCUAAAACCUAAACUUGCUUGUCCAAACGCGUUACACAAAGUUAACCAUCCAUAAUCUUUAACCCAAACCAGACUUGUCCCUGGGUCGCUCCACUUUAAUUUAGAAGUUUCUUCUUUUACCUCAUCUGCGUUUUGAGUUUCAUUCUUUGAGGGCUUGAAGUGCUUUGGAGGAUAUUUGAACCUUUGUUUGCCGCAUCAAUAAACAUGCUUUAUCUUUA